UUGCUUUGGCAGCACAUACACUGAAAUUGGAAUGGUACAGAGACGAUCAGCGUGGCCCCUGCACAAGGACGGCAUGCGGAUUUGUGAAGUGUUCCCUAUUUUU
Small nuclear RNA from Manis javanica (Malayan pangolin), 103 nucleotides. NCBI's taxonomy places the organism in Eukaryota, Metazoa, Chordata, Mammalia, Pholidota, Manidae. The record is from RefSeq and is a predicted model, not a curated record.